AACCUUAUGGACCUGCGGGCGUAUACCUGCGGAGGGAUCAUUAAUGAAUAAACUUGGUCAAGCUGUUGCUGGUCCUUCGGGACAUGUGCACGCUUGCCACCAAUUUCAACCACCUGUGCACCUUUUGUAGACUGGAAACGUUUCUCGGGGCAACUCGGAUUGAGAAUUGCUGCGCGCAAGCCGGCUGUUCUUGUGUUUCUCAGUCUAUGUUUCUAUAUACUCCUAAUGUAUGUAUCUGAA
This 240-nucleotide unclassified non-coding RNA is filed under the name soil metagenome. Its description in RNAcentral is "partial contains 5.8S ribosomal RNA, internal transcribed spacer 2, and large subunit ribosomal RNA". The record is from RNAcentral.